This 1192-nucleotide long non-coding RNA is filed under the name Sus scrofa (pig). Its description in RNAcentral is "lncRNA (ENSSSCG00070014379.1)". The record is from RNAcentral. Lineage: Eukaryota; Metazoa; Chordata; Mammalia; Artiodactyla; Suidae.
AUGGACGAGGACGUGCUGACCACCCUGAAGAUCCUCACCAUCGGCGAGAGUGGCGUGGGCAAACCCAGCCUGCUCUUGAGGUUCACAGAUGAUACUUUUGAUCUAGAACUUGCAGCAACAAUAGGUAAGCCUGUGUUUAAAAAUUCAGUAGAAAUGCCAAGUAUUUUCUUGCCUUUGGGCUGUUUUGUCUAACUCCCCCUACCCGUCCUCUCACCACCCCAUUGCUUCCAUGCCUCUUGAAAUCUUAUUUGUCUUUCAAGUCUUAAAUUUGGUGUCAUUAAAUUUCCAAAGCCUUUGUAGAGCUAACCAAGCAAGAAUAGCUUCCUUUUCUGUUGGGUCAUAGUACUUUGUUAACCCUGCAGAUAUUAUAAUUAUCUGUAUACAUGUUCCUGUGCUGUGGAUUGUAUUUUAUUUAGCAGCAUACAGUUAUUUGAAUGUUUAUUGUAUGACAGGCACUGUCCUGAGAGGUGGGUUAUAAUGAUCAAUAAUACAGACUUGGUCUCUAUCGUACUGGACCAGCAGUAUCACCAACAAUGGAGUGUGUUGACUUUAUAUUUUAAGGAUUCGAUGAAGGAUCUGGCAUGUAUUCUGAACCCAACAUAUUUAUUGAUAUUAGCUAUUAAUGAUUGUUAGAAGAGUAAUACCUAAAUGCCUUUUAAAAAUGUAGUUUAGAUUGCCUGAAAGUGCUUUGAGGAGCUCCCAUUGUGGCACAGUGGAAACAAAUCUUGACUACGAACCUUGAAGUUGCAGGUUCAGUCCCUGGCCUUGCUCAUUGGGUUAAGGAUCUGGUGUUGCCCUGAGCUGCGGUGUAGGUCGCAAACACGGCUCAGAUCCCACAUUCCUGUGGCUGUGGCUGUGGCAUAGGCUGCGGCCAUAGCUCCCAUUGGACCCCUAGCCUGGGAACCUCCAUUUGCUGUGGGUGUGACCCUAAAAAGAAAAAAAAAAGGUGCUUUGACACACCAGCUUAUUAGCAUAUAUGAGAAGACAGAGCUAAAUAUUUGGAUAUCACAUGUUUAGGGAGCAGAUGACAACAUACAGAUACAAGAGACAGCUUGCAGUAAUAGAAGGAGCUGAGUCAGAGCGGGAUGAUAGUCUUGGCUCUGCCUUGAAUGUUGUCAUCUUGAGCAAGUCUCUAACUCCAUUGUCUUCAUCUGCAAGUUAGGAAUUUGGGUGAGAGAAUACAUUUUUUUUC